UGAUGAUGUGGAUAAUGGAGAUCCUAGUGAUAAUAUGGUAGAGAAGGGCCAGUGCAUAUAGUACAAAUGACCCUUAUCAUUAAAGACGAACUGUAAUGAGCAGGCAAGACAAACCAGGUUUCUCUGGGGAAAGAUGUAGAUAACCUGCCUCUGGGUUGUUCUACUUUGGGGAAAAAGGAAAAAAAAAUCUCUGAGCCCUGGAACCCCCUGCUCGGACUCAAGCUCCUGUCCUACAGCAAACUCCUUCCUAAGACCACUGACUUCUCUGUAGUACCACUGGGGAGGGGAAGAGAAGAGGAGGAGACUGGGCUUCUCUUCAUUCUCCUUGUGGGAAUUCUAAGAAAAUAAAACUCAGGAUCUUGGCCACUUCUUGAAUCUUAGAAGCUUGUGAUUCAUUUUCCUCUGGUCAUGGAGCUGGGCAAGAUGAAGGUCUUGACCCCCACAUAUUACAGAUGGAGAACCAUUUCAAGUCCUGUGAAGAUUUCACCCAGAAGGAAUGCCUGCCAGUAGCUGCUCACUGUUAUUUACGAGACAUCAGAUUGAUGUUGAGAAAUUGCACGAGGAGGAUUAAGAAAAGGAAAGAGCUGAUCACUAAUUCUAGCCGGAUCAUUCAGCACAGAUUUUUUCCAGGCUCAUUGCCUGGUCUCAGCCUACAGUUCUCCAGGAUGUCCAGUCAAUGUCCCUACCUACUCAAAAUGUUCCUACAGGCACUAAACAUAAGAUGUCUAGUGGUGGGCCCUUUAAAAACAACGACAACAAACCUCAUUUCCUCCCAAGUCCACUCCAUUCCCAUCAAUGUUUACCUAAGGAUGAAGAGGAAGCAGAGCAAAAAGUGUCUGGAUGACAAACAAAGGAAAUGGUAUUGGCUGCUGUCAGCUGCAUUGACAAGAUCCAGAGCAAGAAAGGUUAGGCAUUUCACAGGGGCCAACAUCAGUGACAUUUACCACUAUAUCCUCUCAGUCCAGAAAAUUUUAUCAACAGCAUGAAUUGUCUCUAUUGCCUCUGGAGCCUUGUUGCUGUUGGAAACAAAAAUCAAUGUGAUACUGAGUUAUAUUAAAAAGCAUAUCACAUUCAAGGGCACAGAAAUAACCCUUACUUGGCAUUGUGUUAUCAUUUAAGUGUACUGUGUUUAAUUUGCAAUAUCAUCAAGAGAUUGAAGAGACUACAGCAGGCUCAAAGAACUGUGGGAAAGAUAUGAAAGGGAUGGAAAACAAGUCAGUCUGAAGAAGGGAUGGCAAAAGGAUUGUUCAGUUACCAUGUUCAAGUAAAUAAAGAGUUUCCAUGGGGAGGAUGCUAAUCA
RNAcentral lists this long non-coding RNA (1300 nucleotides) under Phascolarctos cinereus (koala). RNAcentral's name for it is "lncRNA (ENSPCIG00000023640.2)". The record is from RNAcentral. Lineage: Eukaryota; Metazoa; Chordata; Mammalia; Diprotodontia; Phascolarctidae.